AUCUGGUUGAUCCUGCCAGUAGUCAUGCUUGUCUCAGAGAUCAAGCCGUGCGUGUCUAAGUACAUAACUUUAAACGGUGAAACCGCAAAUGGCUCAUUAAAUCAGCUAUGAUUCUUUGGAUCUUACAUACUACAUGGAUAACUGUAGUAACUCCAGAGAUAAUACGUGCCACUAUGCCCUGACCCGCGAGGGAACGGGUGGAUUUAUUAGAACAAAACCAACCAAGGGUGGCUUCGGUCGCCCCUGUUGCAUUCCGUGAUGACUCUGGAUAACUUCACCGAUCGCAGUCGGGCUUGUGUCGGCGACGGAUCUUUCAAAUGCUUGCUCUAUCAAUUUUCGAUGGUAGGUGACCUGCCUACCAUGGUGCUAACGGGUAACGGGGAAUCAGGGUUCGAUUCCGGAGAGGGAGCCUGAGAAACGGCUACCACUUCCAAGGAAGGCAGCAGGCACGCAAAUUACCCAAUCCCGGCACGGGGAGGUAAUGACGAAAAAUACAGAUACGGGACUCACUAGAGGCUCCGUAAUUUGAAUGAGUACGAUUUGAAUCCUUUAACGAGGAUCAACUGGAGUACAAGUCUGAAGCCAGCAGCCGCGGCAACUCAAGCUCCAGAAGAGUAUAUGGAAAUUGUUGCAGUUGAAAAGCUCGUAGUUGGAUCUGGGUCGCAUGGCUACGUGCCGUCGCUCGUGGGUCUGGCCUGACUACUGCCGGGUUGAGCUUGCGAGUCGGUCUCGUGGUUGUGCUUUUUCUGCUGUGCCUGUUUGCAGGCAUCAGCGUCACCGGUGGGCUCGCCUGCUAGUCUGUUGGCGUGUUUCUUGGUGCCUUUAAUCAGGUUUCGGAGGCGGACAGCACGUUUACUUUGAACAAAUUUGAGUGCUCAAAGCAGGCCUUUGUGCCUGAAAAUUCUUGCAUGGAAUAAUGGAAUAGAACUUCGGUUCCAUUUUUUGGUUUCCGGAUCCGAAGCAGCGAUUAAGAGGGACAGGCGGGGGCAUUUGUAUGGUGGUGUUAGAGGUGAAACUCAUGGACCGCUGCCAGACAAAAUACAGCGAAAGCUUUUGUCAAGGAUGUUUAUUGAACUUCAGCGAAAGUCAGAGGUUCAAAGACGAUCAGAUGUCGUCCCAGUUCUGAACACAAACGAUGCCAACUGACGAUCUGUGAGGGUUCCUCAUGUGUUCCCAACGACAGUCCCCGGGAAACCUCAAGACUUUGGGCUCCGGGGGAAUUACGGAUGCAAAGAUGAAUUUUAAAGACAUUCCGGGACGGGCAACACCAGGAGUGCAGACCAUGGCAUAAUUCGACUCAACACGAAAAAGACGGUGGUGGUAUUUCACUGUCGACAAGCCUUGAAGGACCGGUCUCCCACUUAUCCUACACCCGUUAUGUUUCUUCAUGAAGUCAGGCUAGAGUCAAGCUCAACAGAGUCUUCUUUCCCCGCUAAUUCGGCCGAACCCCUUGCCUUGGCUGUUGUUUCGCUAGAUAGUAGAUAGGGGCAGUGGGAAUCUCGUUAUUCCAUUCAUGAUCGUCAAUAAUUAGAUGACGAGGCAUUUGGUUAUAAUAUGUAAUUUUGUCAAACAUGGGUCAAAUUGAGCUGUUCUGACAUAGCGUUUGGCAAGCGCUAUACACGGUACAGUAAUGAGGUCACCCAAAAGGAAUAUAUUUGUGCUUUCGCGAAAUGGUGGUGCGAGUCCGUGGCAUAGUGCAUGUGCGUGGGCGUGGAAUGUGUUGGAUUGAGAAAUAGAGUUAAGUAGUACCUCUCAUGUAUCGGAGGUACGUCUUGGUGGAGCCACGCGUCGUUGUAGGAACCAUGUCCAGAACAUUCAAGGGGGAGAGGUGCAACCGGCGCAGAGUUGACGCGGAGGAUUUAUGUACAAACCCGUUAUAUGUGAUAACAAUGGGUCGAUGUACGAUGUUAGGAGUGGUGUGCCCACAGGCCGAUAGGAGCCAUCGGAUUGCCGCACUAACGGUGGGGGUGGCGUACUUGGCGACUUUGCUUGACAGUGUCUGUUGGAUGAGGGAUGGGUCACAAAUCGCCAUGUCGCACAAAAAGGCCGUAUUCCCUUUUACGACUAUGACAUCGGGUUUACAGAAAGUCUUUGGGAGCGGUAUACGUGGCUCGUUGUAGCAGAUAGCACCCGUGCGCAGCAGCCUUUUUAGGAACAGGUUGACCACAUCGUCGUGUCUGCGACACCGCGCGUCGUGAGUGAUGCUUCAGGACUGUAAGGUGUGGGAAAGGGAUUCUGGCUGUCCAGAGCCUCCCCGGUAGAAUGUAUCAUCAGCGAUGCGUUGCCCUUAUGUGCUCCUUGUCUUAGUGGACAGAAGGUGACACCUUAAUUUAAUGUUAUGGAUGAAGUCCCGAGGGAACAUCC
RNAcentral lists this ribosomal RNA (2364 nucleotides) under Fasciola hepatica (liver fluke). RNAcentral's name for it is "SSU rRNA". The stretch from base 1 to 1286 matches the Rfam family "Eukaryotic small subunit ribosomal RNA". Lineage: Eukaryota; Metazoa; Platyhelminthes; Trematoda; Plagiorchiida; Fasciolidae. The record is from RNAcentral.